Physella acuta is the source of this 512-nucleotide long non-coding RNA. RefSeq lists it as uncharacterized. NCBI's taxonomy places the organism in Eukaryota, Metazoa, Mollusca, Gastropoda, Physidae. The record is from RefSeq and is a predicted model, not a curated record.
GUUCACCCAAAAAAAAGGGAAGAUCUGAUUUUUACCAGUAAUAAGACUACAGCAUACUAAAUGACACAAGAUGUUCUUUCUCUAUUACCUCUUACAUUUGACAUAAAAGCAGGAAAAGAUAUAACAGUCUAUGCCUACAACAUGGAUCUCCAGGACUAAAACUGAAAAAAUUUGCAAUCAGUAUAUCACAAGGGUUUUAAUACAAGCAUCUAAUCUGCUUUAGUGGCCAGAAGUGGGUGAAUCCUCUCAAACUUGAAUCAGGAACUAGGCAUACCUAAUGAGCGUCAAGCUGAUACACUAGAUCGAGGUCUCCAAACUUUUCAGUCCGAGGGCCGCAUUAACUAUCAAAUUUCAGUUCGGGGGCCAGUUUCUUCCAGGCAUUGAAAAGUGAUGUGAAAGGCAACUAAUACUUCCAUCUACCAUAGUUAAACAAGAAUCUGCAAAUGGCGAUAAUUGCAAUAAUCCUGAUAUAUUCAUUUUUGGCUUUAUUGUCAGGUUUGAUAAAUAAAUUA